GAUGAACGCUAGCUACAGGCUUAACACAUGCAAGUCGCGGGGUAACAUCUGGUAGAGCUUGCUCUUCCAGGAUGACGACCGGCGCACGGGUGAGUAACGCGUAUCCAACCUGGCCCAUACCACGGGAUAGCCCGUCGAAAGGCGGAUUAAUACCGUAUGCUGUCAUUAAGAUGCAUAUAUUGAUGACGAAAGGACUGGCGGUAUGGGAUGGGGAUGCGUCUGAUUAGCUUGUUGGCGGGGUAACGGCCCACCAAGGCGACGAUCAGUAGGGGUUCUGAGAGGAAGGUCCCCCACAUUGGAACUGAGACACGGUCCAAACUCCUACGGGAGGCAGCAGUGAGGAAUAUUGGUCAAUGGGCGAGAGCCUGAACCAGCCAAGUAGCGUGCAGGAUGACGGCCCUAUGGGUUGUAAACUGCUUUAUAAGGGAAUAAGUGAGUCUCGUGAGACUUUUUGCAUGUACCUUAUGAAUAAGGACCGGCUAA
This 483-nucleotide ribosomal RNA is filed under the name uncultured bacterium. RNAcentral describes it as "bacterial SSU rRNA". It matches the Rfam family "Bacterial small subunit ribosomal RNA", at positions 28 to 500 of the family's 1533-position model. The record is from RNAcentral.